CCCUACGGGGUGCACCAGGCGAGAAAACUUUGCAAUGUGCGAAAGCACGAUAAGGUUAAUCCGAGUGGUUUGUGCUAAACGAACCUUUUGUCGGUCCUAGAAACACCGAUGAAUAAGGGGUGGGCAAGUUCUGGUGUCAGCCGCCGCGGUAAAACCAGCACCUCAAGUGGUCAGGAUGAUUAUUGGGCCUAAAGCAUCCGUAGCCGGCUCUGUAAGUUUUCGGUUAAAUCUGUACGCUCAACGUACAGGCUGCCGGGAAUACUGCAGAGCUAAGGAGUGGGAGAGGUAGACGGUACUCGGUAGGAAGGGGUAAAAUCCUUUGAUCUAUUGAUGACCACCUGUGGCGAAGGCGGUCUACCAGAACACGUCCGACGGUGAGGGAUGAAAGCUGGGGGAGCAAACCGGAUUAGAUACCCGGGUAGUCCCAGCUGUAAACUAUGCAAACUCAGUGAUGCAUUGGCUUGUGGCCAAUGCAGUGCUGCAGGGAAGCCGUUAAGUUUGCCGCCUGGGAAGUACGUACGCAAGUAUGAAACUUAAAGGAACUGGCGGGGGAGCACCACAAGGGGUGAAGCCUGCGGUUCAAUUGGAGUCAACGCCAGAAAUCUUACCCGGAGAGACAGCAGAAUGAAGGUCAAGCUGAAGACUUUACCAGACAAGCUGAGAAGUAGUGCAUGGCC
RNAcentral lists this ribosomal RNA (677 nucleotides) under uncultured archaeon. Its description in RNAcentral is "bacterial SSU rRNA". It matches the Rfam family "Archaeal small subunit ribosomal RNA", at positions 321 to 999 of the family's 1478-position model. The record is from RNAcentral.